AUGGGCGCAAGCCUGAUGCAGCGACGCCGCGUGAGGGAUGGAGGCCUUCGGGUUGUGAACCUCUGUCGCCGGUGAUGUAGGCUCUGCUUUGUGGGUGGGGUUGACGGUAGCCGGGGUAUGAAGUGCCGGCUAACUACGUGCCAGCAGCCGCGGUAAUACGUAGGGCGCGAGCGUUGUCCGGAAUUAUUGGGCGUAAAGAGCUCGUAGGCGGCUGGUCGCGUCUGUCGUGAAAUCCUCUGGCUUAACUGGGGGCGUGCGGUGGGUACGGGCCGGCUUGAGUGCGGUAGGGGAGGCUGGAAUUCCUGGUGUAGCGGUGGAAUGCGCAGAUAUCAGGAGGAACACCGGUGGCGAAGGCGGGUCUCUGGGCCGUGUACUGACGCUGAGGAGCGAAAGCGUGGGGAGCGAACAGGAUUAGAUACCCUGGUAGUCCAUGCUGUAAACGUUGGGCACUAGGUGUGGGGGGUCUUUCCGGGUCUUCCGCGCCGUAGCUAACGCAUUAAGUGCCCCGCCUGGGGAGUACGGCCGCAAGGCUAAAACUCAAAGGAAUUGACGGGGGCCCGCACAAGCGGCGGAGCAUGCGGAUUAAUUCGAUGCAACGCGAAGAACCUUACC
RNAcentral lists this ribosomal RNA (612 nucleotides) under Actinomyces sp. oral taxon 448. RNAcentral's name for it is "bacterial SSU rRNA". It matches the Rfam family "Bacterial small subunit ribosomal RNA", at positions 371 to 975 of the family's 1533-position model. The record is from RNAcentral. Lineage: Bacteria; Bacillati; Actinomycetota; Actinomycetes; Actinomycetales; Actinomycetaceae.